Pseudophryne corroboree (corroboree frog) is the source of this 389-nucleotide long non-coding RNA. RefSeq lists it as uncharacterized. Lineage: Eukaryota; Metazoa; Chordata; Amphibia; Anura; Myobatrachidae. The record is from RefSeq and is a predicted model, not a curated record. The transcript has 3 exons.
AGCUGUUUCAGCACAGGUGACUGCAGUUAAAAAUUAAGUCCAGGAGCAGAGCAUUGUAUCCCUCCUGGAGAGGGUCAUGUUGGGAGGUGUUAGGUACGGUGUCCCAGCAAUCAGCAUGCAGAUGGUCAGAAUCCUAAAAGUGAAUUCCCAGCGUUCAAAAUCCCAACAAAUUUUGGAACCUCAAGGUCUGGAAAAUUUUGGAGGAAAGCAAGAAUACAGUCACCCACAGAGAAACCAUCUGGGACAUUUGAAUAGACUUUUCCAUUAUUUCUCCAUAUUUAUUUCAAUUUAAGUAUGUUCUUUCUUUGCAACUGAAUAUAAGGUGGUAGCGCCAAAGAUAUUUUCAAAAUUUAUUUUUCUAUGGUUUCUUACAAAUAAAUGUUGUUGAU